GAUGAACGCUGGCGGCGUGCCUAAUACAUGCAAGUCGAGCGAACAGACGAGGAGCUUGCUCCUCUGACGUUAGCGGCGGACGGGUGAGUAACACGUGAUAACCUACCUAUAAGACUGGGAUAACUUCGGGAAACCGGAGCUAAUACCGGAUAACAUGUUGAACCGCAUGGUUCAACAGUGAAAGACGGUCUUGCUGUCACUUAUAGAUGGAUCCGCGCCGCAUUAGCUAGUUGGUAAGGUAACGGCUUACCAAGGCAACGAUGCGUAGCCGACCUGAGAGGGUGAUCGGCCACACUGGAACUGAGACACGGUCCAGACUCCUACGGGAGGCAGCAGUAGGGAAUCUUCCGCAAUGGGCGAAAGCCUGACGGAGCAACGCCGCGUGAGUGAAGAAGGUCUUCGGAUCGUAAAACUCUGUUAUUAGGGAAGAACAAAUGUGUAAGUAACUAUGCACGUCUUGACGGUACCUAAUCAGAAAGCCACGGCUAACUACGUG
RNAcentral lists this ribosomal RNA (496 nucleotides) under uncultured bacterium. Its description in RNAcentral is "partial 16S ribosomal RNA". It matches the Rfam family "Bacterial small subunit ribosomal RNA", at positions 28 to 507 of the family's 1533-position model. The record is from RNAcentral.